GCGGUCGCAGUUGGCUGGGCUGCGCGGUCUUGAAAACCGUCGUGGCAGCGAUGUCACCGUGGGUUCAAAUCCCACACCCACCGCA
Molecule: transfer RNA, 85 nt
Filed under: Streptomyces anulatus
Lineage: Bacteria; Bacillati; Actinomycetota; Actinomycetes; Kitasatosporales; Streptomycetaceae
Description: tRNA-Ser
Source: RNAcentral